GGGGAAUAUUGGGCAAUGGACGCAAGUCUGACCCAGCAACGCCGCGUGAAGGAAGAAGGCUUUCGGGUUGUAAACUUCUUUUGUCAGGGAAGAGUAGAAGACGGUACCUGACGAAUAAGCCACGGCUAACUACGUGCCAGCAGCCGCGGUAAUACGUAGGGAGCAAGCGUUGUCCGGAUUUACUGGGUGUAAAGGGUGCGUAGGCGGCUUUGCAAGUCAGAUGUGAAAUCUAUGGGCUCAACCCAUAAACUGCAUUUGAAACUGUAGAGCUUGAGUGAAGUAGAGGCAGGCGGAAUUCCCCGUGUAGCGGUGAAAUGCGUAGAGAUGGGGAGGAACACCAGUGGCGAAGGCGGCCUGCUGGGCUUUAACUGACGCUGAGGCACGAAAGCGUGGGUAGCAAACAGGAUUAGAUACCCUGGUAGUCCACGCUGUAAACGAUGAUUACUAGGUGUGGGGGGUCUGACCCCUUCCGUGCCGGAGUUAACACAAUAAGUAAUCCACCUGGGGAGUACGGCCGCAAGGUUGAAACUCAAAGGAAUUGACGGGGGCCCGCACAAGCAGUGGAGUAUGUGGUUUAAUUCGAAGCAACGCGAAGAACCUUACCAGGUCUUGACAUCCAACUAACGAAGUAGAGAUACAUUAGGUGCCCUUCGGGGAAAGUUGAGACAGGUGGUGCAUGGUUGUCGUCAGCUCGUGUCGUGAGAUGUUGGGUUAAGUCCCGCAACGAGCGCAACCCUUGCUAUUAGUUGCUACGCAAGAGCACUCUAAUAGGACUGCCGUUGACAAAACGGAGGAAGGUGGGGACGACGUCAAAUCAUCAUGCCCCUUAUGACCUGGGCUACACACGUACUACAAUGGAUGUUAACAGAGGGAAGCAAGACAGCGAUGUGGAGCAAACCCCUAAAAACAUUCUCAGUUCAGAUUGCAGGCUGCAACCCGCCUGCAUGAAGAUGGAAUUGCUAGUAAUCGCGGAUCAGCAUGCCGCGGUGAAUACGUUCCCG
This 1001-nucleotide ribosomal RNA is filed under the name uncultured bacterium. RNAcentral describes it as "bacterial SSU rRNA". It matches the Rfam family "Bacterial small subunit ribosomal RNA", at positions 356 to 1376 of the family's 1533-position model. The record is from RNAcentral.